This 499-nucleotide ribosomal RNA is filed under the name uncultured Glomeromycotina. RNAcentral describes it as "partial small subunit ribosomal RNA". It matches the Rfam family "Eukaryotic small subunit ribosomal RNA", at positions 591 to 1092 of the family's 1831-position model. The record is from RNAcentral. Lineage: Eukaryota; Fungi; Glomeromycota.
CCAAUAGCGUAUAUUAAAGUUGUUGCAGUUAAAAAGCUCGUAGUUGAAUUUUGGAUUCUACCAUUUGGUCCAUCUUUUAGAUGAGUACUGAAUGUGUGGGGUCUAUCCGCCUGAUAAUACGUAAUGUUCUUUAUUGAAUGUUACGGGUAGUCAGGACUUUUACCUUGAAAAAAUUAGAGUGUUUAAAGCAGGCUUAUGCCGGAAUACAUUAGCAUGGAAUAAUAGAAUAGGACGAAGUUGUUUUAUUUUGUUGGUUUUUAGGACAACCGUAAUGAUUAAUAGGGAUAGUUGGGGGCAUUAGUAUUCAAUUGUCAGAGGUGAAAUUCUUGGAUUUAUUGAAGACUAACUACUGCGAAAGCAUUUGCCAAGGAUGUUUUCAUUAAUCAAGAACGAAAGUUAGGGGAUCGAAGACGAUCAGAUACCGUCGUAGUCUUAACCAUAAACUAUGCCGACUAGGGAUCGGGCGAUGUUGUUUCCAUGACUCGCUCGGCACCUUAUG